Molecule: ribosomal RNA, 257 nt
Filed under: uncultured Stenotrophomonas sp.
Lineage: Bacteria; Pseudomonadati; Pseudomonadota; Gammaproteobacteria; Lysobacterales; Lysobacteraceae
Description: partial 16S ribosomal RNA
Rfam family: Bacterial small subunit ribosomal RNA
Source: RNAcentral
GGCGGACGGGUGAGGAAUACAUCGGAAUCUACUCUGUCGUGGGGGAGUAACGUAGGGAAACUUACGCUAAUACCGCAUACGACCUACGGGUGAAAGCAGGGGAUCUUCGGACCUUGCGCGAUUGAAUGAGCCGAUGUCGGAUUAGCUAGUUGGCGGGGUAAAGGCCCACCAAGGCGACGAUCCGUAGCUGGUCUGAGAGGAUGAUCAGCCACACUGGAACUGAGACACGGUCCAGACUCCUACGGGAGGCAGCAGUA